Molecule: ribosomal RNA, 483 nt
Filed under: uncultured bacterium
Lineage: Bacteria
Description: bacterial SSU rRNA
Rfam family: Bacterial small subunit ribosomal RNA
Source: RNAcentral
GAUGAACGCUAGCGGCAGGCCUAAUACAUGCAAGUCGAACGAAGCAGCAAUGCUUAGUGGCGCACGGGUGCGUAACACGUAUGUAACCUACCUUUUACUGGGGGGAUAACUUCUCGAAAGAGAAGCUAAUACCGCAUAAUACAUUAAAGUCACCUGAUUUAAAUGUUAAAGAUUUAUUGGUAAAAGAUGGGCAUGCGUCCAAUUAGCUAGUUGGUAGUGUAACGGACUACCAAGGCUACGAUUGGUAGGGGUCUGAGAGGAUGGUCCCCCACACUGGUACUGAGAUACGGACCAGACUCCUACGGGAGCAGCAGUAGGGAAUAUUGGGCAAUGGACGAAAGUCUGACCCAGCCAUGCCGCGUGCAGGAUGAAGGCCCUCUGGGUUGUAAACUGCUUUUGACAGGGAAGAAAUACACCAUGCGUGUGGGCUGACGGUACCUGUAGAAUAAGCACGGCUAACUCCGUGCCAGCAGCCGCGGUAAU